Molecule: ribosomal RNA, 497 nt
Filed under: uncultured bacterium
Lineage: Bacteria
Description: partial 16S ribosomal RNA
Rfam family: Bacterial small subunit ribosomal RNA
Source: RNAcentral
GAUGAACGCUGGCGGCGUGCCUAAUACAUGCAAGUCGAGCGAACAGACGAGGAGCUUGCUCCUCUGACGUUAGCGGCGGACGGGUGAGUAACACGUGGAUAACCUACCUAUAAGACUGGGAUAACUUCGGGAAACCGGAGCUAAUACCGGAUAAUAUAUUGAACCGCAUGGUUCACUAGUGAAAGACGGUUUUGCUGUCACUUAUGGAUGGAUCCGCGCCGCAUUAGCUAGUUGGUAAGGUAACGGCUUACCAAGGCGACGAUGCGUAGCCGACCUGAGAGGGUGGUCGGCCACACUGGAACUGAGACACGGUCCAGACUCCUACGGGAGGCAGCAGUAGGGAAUCUUCCGCAAUGGGCGAAAGCCUGACGGUGCAACGCGGCGUGAGUGAUGAAGGUCUUCGGAUCGGAAAACUCUGUUAUUAGGGAAGAACAAAUGUGUAAGUAACUAUGCACGUCUUGACGGUACCUAAUCAGAAAGCCACGGCUAACUACGUG